This 497-nucleotide ribosomal RNA is filed under the name uncultured bacterium. Its description in RNAcentral is "partial 16S ribosomal RNA". It matches the Rfam family "Bacterial small subunit ribosomal RNA", at positions 28 to 507 of the family's 1533-position model. The record is from RNAcentral.
GACGAACGCUGGCGGCGUGCCUAAUACAUGCAAGUUGAGCGCUGAAGGUUGGUACUUGUACCAACUGGAUGAGCAGCGAACGGGUGAGUAACGCGUGGGGAAUCUGCCUUUGAGCGGGGGACAACAUUUGGAAACGAAUGCUAAUACCGCAUAAAAACUUUAAACACAAGUUUUAAGUUUGAAAGAUGCAAUUGCAUCACUCAAAGAUGAUCCCGCGUUGUAUUAGCUAGUUGGUGAGGUAAAGGCUCACCAAGGCGAUGAUACAUAGCCGACCUGGGAGGGUGAUCGGCCACAUUGGGACUGAGACACGGCCCAAACUCCUACGGGAGGCAGCAGUAGGGAAUCUUCGGCAAUAGACGAAAGUCUGACCGAGCAACGCCGCGUGAGUGAAGAAGGUUUUCGGAUCGUAAAACUCUGUUGGUAGAGAAGAACGUUGGUGAGAGUGGAAAGCUCAUCAAGUGACGGUAACUACCCAGAAAGGGACGGCUAACUACGUG